AUAAGAUGAGAAGAUCCUGUGGAGCUUAAGAUCCAUAACUUAACUAAUAAUAGCAAUUCGAACUAAGGGGUGAACCUAAAAACAUCUAAGUUAUAAUCCUUGCUUGGGGUGACCUCGGAGUAUAAAACAACCUCCGAAUGAUAUAACCUAGGUCAACCAAUUCAAGUGCAACAAAGCCAAUAGUUGACCCAAAUCUUGAUCAAUGGAACAAGAUACCCCAGGGAUAAAAGCACAAUCCAAUUUAAGAGCCCAAUUUGACAAUUAAGGUUUAGGACCUUGAUGUUGGAUCAGGAUACCAGAAUGCUGCAAUCACUAUUCCUUUGUUCAACUAUUAAAGUCCUAAGUGAUCUGAGUUCAGACAGGAGAAAUCCAGAUCAGUUUCUAUCUAU
This 389-nucleotide non-coding RNA is filed under the name Monodelphis domestica (gray short-tailed opossum). RNAcentral's name for it is "Bacterial large subunit ribosomal RNA". It matches the Rfam family "Bacterial large subunit ribosomal RNA", at positions 2075 to 2645 of the family's 2925-position model. Lineage: Eukaryota; Metazoa; Chordata; Mammalia; Didelphimorphia; Didelphidae. The record is from Rfam by way of RNAcentral.